RNAcentral lists this ribosomal RNA (468 nucleotides) under uncultured bacterium. RNAcentral's name for it is "partial 16S ribosomal RNA". It matches the Rfam family "Bacterial small subunit ribosomal RNA", at positions 28 to 507 of the family's 1533-position model. The record is from RNAcentral.
GACGGACGCUGGCGGCGUGCUUAACACAUGCAAGUCGAACGGAAAGGCCCUGCUUUUGUGGGGUGCUCGAGUGGCGAACGGGUGAGUAACACGUGAGUAACCUGCCCUUGACUUUGGGAUAACUUCAGGAAACUGGGGCUAAUACCGGAUAGGAGCUCCUGCUGCAUGGUGGGGGUUGGAAAGUUUCGGCGGUUGGGGAUGGACUCGCGGCCUAUCAGCUUGUUGGUGGGGUAGUGGCUUACCAAGGCUUUGACGGGUAGCCGGCCUGAGAGGGUGACCGGCCACAUUGGGACUGAGAUACGGCCCAGACUCCUACGGGGGGCAGCAGUGGGGAAUAUUGCACAAUGGGCGGAAGCCUGAUGCAGCAACGCCGCGUGCGGGAUGACGGCCUUCGGGUUGUAAACCGCUUUCGCCUGUGACGAAGCGUGAGUGACGGUAAUGGGUAAAGAAGCACCGGCUAACUACGUG